RNAcentral lists this ribosomal RNA (520 nucleotides) under uncultured Glomus. RNAcentral's name for it is "SSU rRNA". It matches the Rfam family "Eukaryotic small subunit ribosomal RNA", at positions 569 to 1091 of the family's 1831-position model. The record is from RNAcentral. Lineage: Eukaryota; Fungi; Glomeromycota; Glomeromycetes; Glomerales; Glomeraceae.
AGCAGCCGCGGUAAUUCCAGCUCCAAUAGCGUAUAUUAAAGUUGCUGCAGUUAAAAAGCUCGUAGUUGAAUUUCGGGACUAAUAUGUCGGUCGUGCCUCGGUACGUACUGGUAUUUUUGGUUUCUCCCUUCUGACGAACCUUGAUGUCAUUAAUUUGGUGUCUUGGGAAAUCAGGACUGUUACUUUGAAAAAAUUAGAGUGUUUAAAGCAGGCUCACGCUUGAAUACAUUAGCAUGGAAUAAUGAAAUAGGACGUUUGAUUCUAUUUUGUUGGUUUCUAGGAUCGACGUAAUGAUUAAUAGGGAUAGUUGGGGGCAUUAGUAUUCAAUUGUCAGAGGUGAAAUUCUUGGAUUUAUUGAAGACUAACUACUGCGAAAGCAUUUGCCAAGGAUGUUUUCAUUAAUCAAGAACAAAAGUUAGGGGAUCGAAGACGAUCAGAUACCGUCGUAGUCUUAACCAUAAACUAUGCCGACUAGGGAUCGGAUGAUGUUAAUUUUUUAAUGACUCACUCGGCGCCUUAC